CAAUAGCGUAUAUUAAAGUUGUUGCAGUUAAAAAGCUCGUAGUUGGAUUUGUGGCGUAUGGUGUGUUCCGGGCACUUGUUGUCUGAGUAACUUGCCAUUGCCAUCCUUGGGUGGAACCUGUGUGGCAUUAGGUUGUCGUGCAGGGGAUGCCCAUCGUUUACUGUGAAAAAAUUAGAGUGUUCAAAGCAGGCUUAUGCCGUUGAAUAUAUUAGCAUGGAAUAAUAAGAUAGGACUUUUUUGCUAUUUUGUUGGUUUGCGCAAGAAGGUAAUGAUUAAUAGGGAUAGUUGGGGGUAUUCGUAUUCCAUUGUCAGAGGUGAAAUUCUUGGAUUUUUGGAAGACGAACUACUGCGAAAGCAUUUACCAAGGAUGUUUUCAUUAA
Molecule: ribosomal RNA, 380 nt
Filed under: uncultured eukaryote
Lineage: Eukaryota
Description: partial 18S ribosomal RNA
Rfam family: Eukaryotic small subunit ribosomal RNA
Source: RNAcentral